AUUUCCUUCGGGACUGAUUAUUUUGUGACUGAGUGGCGGACGGGUGAGUAACGCGUGGGUAACCUGCCUUGUACAGGGGGACAACAGUUGGAAACGACUGCUAAUACCGCAUGACACAUAGAGAUCGCAUGGUUUUUAUGUCAAAGAUUUAUCGCUGAUAGAUGGCCUUGCGUCUGAUUAGUUAGUUGGUGGGGUAACGGCCUACCAAGACGACGAUCAGUAGCCGGACUGAGAGGUUGAACGGCCACAUUGGGACUGAGAUACGGUCCAAACUCC
This 276-nucleotide ribosomal RNA is filed under the name uncultured Oscillospiraceae bacterium. RNAcentral's name for it is "partial 16S ribosomal RNA". The stretch from base 38 to 276 matches the Rfam family "Bacterial small subunit ribosomal RNA", at positions 100 to 339 of the family's 1533-position model. Lineage: Bacteria; Bacillati; Bacillota; Clostridia; Eubacteriales; Oscillospiraceae. The record is from RNAcentral.